AAGUCGUAACAAGGUCUCCGUUGGUGAACCAGCGGAGGGAUCAUUACCGAGUUUACAACUCCCAAACCCAAUGUGAACGUUACCAAACUGUUGCCUCGGCGGGAUCUCUGCCCCGGGUGCGUCGCAGCCCCGGACCAAGGCGCCCGCCGGAGGACCAACCAAAACUCUAUUGUAUACCCCCUCGCGGGUUUUUUUUUAUAAUCUGAGCCUUCUCGGCGCCUCUCGUAGGCGUUUCGAAAAUGAAUCAAAACUUUCAACAACGGAUCUCUUGGUUCUG
This 277-nucleotide unclassified non-coding RNA is filed under the name Trichoderma sp. Its description in RNAcentral is "partial internal transcribed spacer region". The stretch from base 1 to 46 matches the Rfam family "Eukaryotic small subunit ribosomal RNA", at positions 1786 to 1831 of the family's 1831-position model. Lineage: Eukaryota; Fungi; Ascomycota; Sordariomycetes; Hypocreales; Hypocreaceae. The record is from RNAcentral.